AGAGUUUGAUCCUGGCUCAGAUUGAACGCUGGCGGCAUGCCUUACACAUGCAAGUCGAACGGUAACGCGGGGCAACCUGGCGACGAGUGGCGAACGGGUGAGUAACGCAUCGGAACGUGCCCAGUAGUGGGGGAUAGCCCGGCGAAAGCCGGAUUAAUACCGCAUACGACCUACGGGUGAAAGGGGGGGAUCGCAAGACCUCUCGCUAUUGGAGCGGCCGAUGUCAGAUUAGGUUGUUGGUGGGGUAAAGGCCUACCAAGCCGACGAUCUGUAGCUGGUCUGAGAGGACGACCAGCCACACUGGGACUGAGACACGGCCCAGACUCCUACGGGAGGCAGCAGUGGGGAAUUUUGGACAAUGGGCGCAAGCCUGAUCCAGCCAUGCCGCGUGCGGGAAGAAGGCCUUCGGGUUGUAAACCGCUUUUGUCAGGGAAGAAACGCUCUGAGCUAAUACCUCGGGGUAAUGACGGUACCUGAAGAAUAAGCACCGGCUAACUACGUGCCAGCAGCCGCGGUAAUACGUAGGGUGCAAGCGUUAAUCGGAAUUACUGGGCGUAAAGCGUGCGCAGGCGGUUAUGCAAGACAGAUGUGAAAUCCCCGGGCUCAACCUGGGAACUGCAUUUGUGACUGCAUAGCUGGAGUACGGUAGAGGGGGAUGGAAUUCCGCGUGUAGCAGUGAAAUGCGUAGAUAUGCGGAGGAACACCGAUGGCGAAGGCAAUCCCCUGGACCUGUACUGACGCUCAUGCACGAAAGCGUGGGGAGCAAACAGGAUUAGAUACCCUGGUAGUCCACGCCCUAAACGAUGUCAACUGGUUGUUGGACGGCUUGCUGUUCAGUAACGAAGCUAACGCGUGAAGUUGACCGCCUGGGGAGUACGGCCGCAAGGUUGAAGCUCAAAGGAAUUGACGGGGACCCGCACAAGCGGUGGAUGAUGUGGUUUAAUUCGAUGCAACGCGAAAAACCUUACCUACCCUUGACAUGUCUGGAAUCCUGAAGAGAUUUAGGAGUGCUCGAAAGAGAACCAGAACACAGGUGCUGCAUGGCCGUCGUCAGCUCGUGUCGUGAGAUGUUGGGUUAAGUCCCGCAACGAGCGCAACCCUUGUCAUUAGUUGCUACGAAAGGGCACUCUAAUGAGACUGCCGGUGACAAACCGGAGGAAGGUGGGGAUGACGUCAGGUCCUCAUGGCCCUUAUGGGUAGGGCUACACACGUCAUACAAUGGCCGGUACAGAGGGCUGCCAACCCGCGAGGGGGAGCUAAUCCCAGAAAACCGGUCGUAGUCCGGAUCGCAGUCUGCAACUCGACUGCGUGAAGUCGGAAUCGCUAGUAAUCGCGGAUCAGCUUGCCGCGGUGAAUACGUUCCCGGGUCUUGUACACAC
Molecule: ribosomal RNA, 1379 nt
Filed under: metagenome
Description: bacterial SSU rRNA
Rfam family: Bacterial small subunit ribosomal RNA
Source: RNAcentral